Molecule: unclassified non-coding RNA, 206 nt
Filed under: Hevea brasiliensis (rubber tree)
Lineage: Eukaryota; Viridiplantae; Streptophyta; Magnoliopsida; Malpighiales; Euphorbiaceae
Source: RNAcentral
GAAAAAAAUAAAAGGUUUCUGGAUUUGGUGCAUGGAAAAGCAGCUGUAUUACUUACUUUUAUUUGCACAACACAGAAGCAUAUGUUACAGGAUUAUCAUCCAUGUCAUAUAUCAUCAGAGUUACCUAGCACCCGAAAUCGACUGGCCAAGUUCGUUGACUGUUACUUCAAUCAGCACGUCCUCAAAAGCUUCGUCGCUCGUGAACA